CGACACGUGUUUAUCUCGAAGGNGUCGGGGUGAAAGCCCCUUCCUCAAGCCGGGGAAUCGCUUCCCCUUGGCGGGGCGUCCUUCCCGGCAUAAUAACCAACCCCGGCGCGGUCUGCGCCAAGGAACAUGAAUACAAGCGUGCCCUUCUCCGACUGGUUCGCCGGUCGUGGACGUGGCACCAAGUCGUAUAUAACAUUAAACGACUCUCGGCAACGGAUAUCUCGGCUCUCGCAUCGAUGAAGAACGUAGCGAAAUGCGAUACUUGGUGUGAAUUGCACAAUCCCGUGAACCAUCGAGUCUUUGAACGCAAGUUGCGCCCGAAGCCUUUAGGUUGAGGGCACGCCUGCCUGGGCGUCACGCAUCGCGUCUCCCCCCACCACCCCGUGUGGAUGGGGAGGAGGAUGAUGGCCUCCCAUGCCUCACCGGGCGUGGAUGGCCUAAAUAUGGAGCCCCCGGUUACAAUGCCGCGGUUGGUGGAAUACAAGGCACCCCUAGAUGAAACGGUAUCGCGCACAUCUGGCUCUUGAGACUGACCCUUACUUGUUUGCCCCUAGGGCGGCAAAACCGUUGCGACCCCCAGGUCAGGCGGGCUACCCGCUGAGUUUAAGCAUAUCAAUAAGGAGGAAA
RNAcentral lists this ribosomal RNA (627 nucleotides) under Atriplex halimus (Mediterranean saltbush). RNAcentral describes it as "eukaryotic LSU rRNA". The stretch from base 202 to 357 matches the Rfam family "5.8S ribosomal RNA". The record is from RNAcentral. Lineage: Eukaryota; Viridiplantae; Streptophyta; Magnoliopsida; Caryophyllales; Amaranthaceae.